Molecule: long non-coding RNA, 622 nt
Organism: Neofelis nebulosa (Clouded leopard)
Lineage: Eukaryota; Metazoa; Chordata; Mammalia; Carnivora; Felidae
Exons: 5
Source: RefSeq, a predicted model, not a curated record
GUUCAACUUUACAUUAGAGUUCUCUUAGAAGUUCAAUAUAGAUAGAUAAAUAGAUAAACUAGCUCCUUCUCCACUCUCCAGAUAUCUCUAGAAAAGGGAAGAGAUGUUAACUUUAAAAUUUGCCUGGAUGACUCAAAUCAGUGACCAAGUUUGAGUACUACUCACACAAGAUUGUCACAACUUCUCUCUAAAUCCAUCGGGACUACCUUUAGUGACGAUUGAACAAGAAAACAUAUAUGACCUGAUUGGCCUACACGCUUCACAGCAAUAGCAUCUUUCUUAUGCAAGCCUUAACUGAACUGAAGAAUCAAGUACACUGGUCCAGAGACUGAAACAAAGCAGGGGUGCUAAAGCCCUGCGGGGGUGGGCUUUACCUGCUCAGGAAGAAAAGGAACAAGAGAGAUCUUUGAGCCAGAAGAGGGGUUCAAGAAGGAGAUGCUGGAUGGAAGUUUCCAGUGAAUAAAGAUGGUGGCCUUUUUCAAGUGUUUGGAACUUGUGGUAGCUGUAUAAAAAGUUUUGCCAGCGGAUAAUCCAGUCUCCACAUUACAGAUGAGUUGAAUGGGAAUCAAAGGCGAAAACCAGGUUGACUGAGAGUAAGUGGGCAAUGCCAAGAUUUGAAUAU